Molecule: long non-coding RNA, 521 nt
Organism: Syngnathus typhle (broad-nosed pipefish)
Lineage: Eukaryota; Metazoa; Chordata; Actinopteri; Syngnathiformes; Syngnathidae
Exons: 4
Source: RefSeq, a predicted model, not a curated record
UUCAAAUGCAGGUUAUUCUACAAAGUGCACGCUGUGUCCAUCCCAUCCCCAUCCUCAGCCCAGCCCAGCCCAUUUGCCUUUUUCGUUAUUUAUUUUUCAACGGGAUAUUUGAGGGGAUAGUGGUUGACGACCAGACACCACGGACCACUCACUUCUUUUGACUCACCUUUGUAGAAAUGAUGAAGAACCGGAGCUGCGGAGGACGCCAUAAAGCAAGAGGACAUCGAUGUGAUGUGAGGAAUUUUCUUUUCACUGCACCUGUCUGAGGUUUGAUGAAGACCUCCUGUAUUGCCGCCACUCUCCAGCCUGCCACGUCGAGGAUAUCCAGCAGAUCGCAAAGGUGUGCCCCUUUCUGCACAACAACUGGAAGAGAAGACGUCAUCUGUGCUUUUUUUUUUUAAUAUCAAUUUCAGCUUCUUGUAAAUGAUUGCACAACAUAUUGUGAACCUGUGCUGAUGAGAAUCACUGUACCGCUGUUUAUAUUUUCAUUAAGAAAUUAGGUCAAGUUGACUGUUUGUCUG